UUACCUUUUUGUCUUAGAAUCAAUACUGUGUAUUGGCUCCAAGGCAGAAGAGUGGUAAGGGCUAGGCAAUGGGGGUCAAGUGACUUGCCCAGGGUCACACAGCUGGGAAGUGUCUGGGGUCAUAUUUGAACCUAGGACCUCCUGUCUCUAGGGCUGACUCUCAAUCCACUGAGCUACCCAGCUGCCCCUUGAUUGAUUUUUAAAAUGCUUUAUUACUAAGUUGUUUAAGCCAUAAUCAAGGGAAUGAAAUAAGGAUGAAAUCUUAUAAACACCAUAUAAGGUCCUUUUAGAAUUUCAUUAAGAUCAAGUCCUUAUAGAUUUGUCUUACCUUGAAUUCUGCCUUAAAAUGAAUAAUAGCUAUUCAACAAAUAUUUGUAUUGUAAAUUGAUUGCUUUUGAGGUUCUAGCAAAUUUAUGUAACUCAGGGAAACACAAUAUCUGAGAGUAUUUAGCAAGCUCUUCAGAUGCAGUGGGGUUUUUUGAAGCCUACUAGCUAGCUUCCUUAAAAAUGUCUUAAAGGGGGGCAGCUGGGUAGCUCAGUGGAUUGAGAGCCAGCCCUAGAGAUUGGAGGUCCUAGGUUCAAAUCUGACCCCAGACACUUCCCAGUUGUGUGACCCUGGGCAAGUCACUUGACCCCCAUUGCCUCGCCCUUACCACUCUUCUGCCUUGGAGCCAAUACACAGUAUUGACUCCAAGACAGAAGGUAAGGGUUUAAAAAAAAUGUCUUAAAGGGGGGAAAAUUAUUAAUUUACUAUAUACAGAAAUAAUUUCAGGUAUUCAUACUCUUAAAGUAUGUUUUCAAAGUGUGUGUUAUGUUAGGAGUUAAAUGCUAAAUUCUGAAACUGCAAAGUGAAAAAUGUCUUUGAAAACUACAAAAUUUACUUAUAGCAUCCAUCAUGCUCAACUAAUGCUUUAAAAAAUAUUUUCCAUAGAAUUUCUUUGUAAACUUGUUUUUUCAAACAAAGAACUAAUAAUUAAAAUUAAUUUAUUCUUUAAAAAAAUGCUAUUCAGUGUUAAAUAAAGGCAUAGCUGGUGUGCUUAGCCA
Molecule: long non-coding RNA, 1044 nt
Filed under: Monodelphis domestica (gray short-tailed opossum)
Lineage: Eukaryota; Metazoa; Chordata; Mammalia; Didelphimorphia; Didelphidae
Description: lncRNA (ENSMODG00000038442.1)
Source: RNAcentral